This 484-nucleotide ribosomal RNA is filed under the name uncultured bacterium. RNAcentral describes it as "partial 16S ribosomal RNA". It matches the Rfam family "Bacterial small subunit ribosomal RNA", at positions 30 to 507 of the family's 1533-position model. The record is from RNAcentral.
AUUGAACGCUGGCGGCAGGCCUAACACAUGCAAGUCGAGCGGAUGAAGGGAGCUUGCUCCUGGAUUCAGUGGCGGACGGGUGAGUAAUGCCUAGGAAUCUGCCUGGUAGUGGGGGAUAACGUCCGGAAACGGGCGCUAAUACCGCAUACGUCCUGAGGGAGAAAGUGGGGGAUCUUCGGACCUCACGCUAUCAGAUGAGCCUAGGUCGGAUUAGCUAGUUGGUGGGGUAAAGGCCUACCAAGGCGACGAUCCGUAACUGGUCUGAGAGGAUGAUCAGUCACACUGGAACUGAGACACGGUCCAGACUCCUACGGGAGGCAGCAGUGGGGAAUAUUGGACAAUGGGCGAAAGCCUGAUCCAGCCAUGCCGCGUGUGUGAAGAAGGUCUUCGGAUUGUAAAGCACUUUAAGUUGGGAGGAAGAGCAGUAAGUUAAUACCUUGCUGUUUUGACGUUACCAACAGAAUAAGCACCGGCUAACUUCGUG